This 465-nucleotide ribosomal RNA is filed under the name uncultured bacterium. Its description in RNAcentral is "partial 16S ribosomal RNA". It matches the Rfam family "Bacterial small subunit ribosomal RNA", at positions 28 to 507 of the family's 1533-position model. The record is from RNAcentral.
GACGAACGCUGGCGGCGUGCUUAACACAUGCAAGUCGAACGGAAAGGCCCUGCUUGCAGGGUCCUCGAGUGGCGAACGGGUGAGUAACACGUGGGUGAUCUGCCCUGCACUUCGGGAUAAGCCUGGGAAACUGGGUCUAAUACCGGAUAGGAGCCAUUUUUAGUGUGAUGGUUGGAAAGUUUUUUCGGUGUAGGAUGAGCUCGCGGCCUAUCAGCUUGUUGGUGGGGUAAUGGCCUACCAAGGCGGCGACGGGUAGCCGGCCUGAGAGGGUGGACGGCCACAUUGGGACUGAGAUACGGCCCAGACUCCUACGGGAGGCAGCAGGGGGGAAUAUUGCACAAUGGGCGCAAGCCUGAUGCAGCGACGCCGCGUGGGGGAUGACGGCCUUCGGGUUGUAAACUCCUUUCGCUAGGGACGAAGCUUUUUGUGACGGUACCUAGAUAAGAAGCACCGGCUAACUACGUG